This 72-nucleotide transfer RNA is filed under the name Cynopterus sphinx (Indian short-nosed fruit bat). RNAcentral's name for it is "tRNA-Gln". It matches the Rfam family "tRNA". Rfam says of the family: Transfer RNA (tRNA) molecules are approximately 80 nucleotides in length. Their secondary structure includes four short double-helical elements and three loops (D, anti-codon, and T loops). Further hydrogen bonds mediate the characteristic L-shaped molecular structure. tRNAs have two regions of fundamental functional importance: the anti-codon, which is responsible for specific mRNA codon recognition, and the 3' end, to which the tRNAs corresponding amino acid is attached (by aminoacyl-tRNA synthetases). tRNAs cope with the degeneracy of the genetic code in two manners: having more than one tRNA (with a specific anti-codon) for a particular amino acid; and 'wobble' base-pairing, i.e. permitting non-standard base-pairing at the 3rd anti-codon position. Lineage: Eukaryota; Metazoa; Chordata; Mammalia; Chiroptera; Pteropodidae. The record is from RNAcentral.
UAGAAUAUGGUGUAAUUGGUAGCACUAAGAUUUUUGAAUUCUUUAGAGUAGGUUCGAAUCCUAUUGUUCUAG